RNAcentral lists this ribosomal RNA (433 nucleotides) under uncultured bacterium. RNAcentral describes it as "partial 16S ribosomal RNA". It matches the Rfam family "Bacterial small subunit ribosomal RNA", at positions 29 to 507 of the family's 1533-position model. The record is from RNAcentral.
AACGAACGCUGGCGGCAUGCCUAACACAUGCAAGUCGAACGAGACCUUCGGGUCUAGUGGCGCACGGGUGCGUAACGCGUGGGAACCUGCCCUUAGGUUCGGAAUAACUCCCCGAAGGGGGUCCUAAUACCGGUUAAGGUCUUCGGACCAAAGAUUUAUCGCCUUUGGAUGGGCCCGCGUUGGAUUAGCUAGUUGGUAGGGUAAAAGCCUACCAAGGCGACGAUCCAUAGCUGGUCUGAGAGGAUGAUCAGCCACACUGGGACUGAGACACGGCCCAGACUCCUACGGGAGGCAGCAGUGGGGAAUAUUGGACAAUGGGCGAAAGCCUGAUCCAGCAAUGCCGCGUGAGUGAUGAAGGCCUUAGGGUUGUAAAGCUCUUUUACCCGGGAUGAUAAUGACAGUACCGGGAGAAUAAGCGCCGGCUAACUCCGUG